ACCUGCCACCAUGUCCCCCUGAUGCUCCCGGUCUUGCCUGAUCUUGGAGGUUGAGCGGGGUUGGGCCUGGUUAAUACUUGAAAAUAGAGGUCUUGCCGGGCU
RNAcentral lists this ribosomal RNA (102 nucleotides) under Carlito syrichta (Philippine tarsier). The record is from RNAcentral. Lineage: Eukaryota; Metazoa; Chordata; Mammalia; Primates; Tarsiidae.